ACGCUCGACACCUACAGGCAGCAGUGGGGAAUAUUGCACAAUGGGGGAAACCCUGAUGCAGCGAUGCCGCGUGAAGGAAGAAGUAUCUCGGUAUGUAAACUUCUAUCAGCAGGGAAGAAAAUGACGGUACCUGACUAAGAAGCCCCGGCUAACUACGUGCCAGCAGCCGCGGUAAUCUGAGCGGGCUGGCAAGGC
Molecule: ribosomal RNA, 195 nt
Filed under: uncultured bacterium
Lineage: Bacteria
Description: partial 16S ribosomal RNA
Rfam family: Bacterial small subunit ribosomal RNA
Source: RNAcentral